This 1505-nucleotide long non-coding RNA is filed under the name Manacus vitellinus (golden-collared manakin). RNAcentral's name for it is "lncRNA (ENSMVIG00005012771.1)". Lineage: Eukaryota; Metazoa; Chordata; Aves; Passeriformes; Pipridae. The record is from RNAcentral.
CUGACAUUUUAAUGCUGGAUUUGGGAAUAUCUUGCGGUGUUGCUCUGUGGGAUGUGCUCAGGUGCCCUGUGGCUGGCAGGAGAACAGGGGCUGGAGACAAGGGGCAGCUCUGGCUGUGCUGGAGUGACCGAGGUCACUCCUGGUCCCUCAUCCUGGCGUUUGUUUCUCCGCAGGUUUUGGCGUCUGCCGCUUCAGGAACGACAAAUUCCAUCGGCCACAACCGCCCUGGGACUGUCCUCGUGCCAGAAGUGAGGAGACCAGAGCCUGACCAUGUGCAGGAUUGGGACUUCUCCCCCUCCACCAACGGUCCCGAGCCAGGAGGAUUUGUCUCUGGAUGGUUCCUCUCCCCUGGGAUCUCUGACAUCAUAAACCCUCCUGGACUGCUGUGGGUUUUGGAUGCUCCCUUCUGUUUGGAGCUGGGAAUGGCACAGCUGGGAGGCUGCAGCCCCUGCUCCUCUCCAGCUCCCGUGGAUUACUGCUUUUGGCAUCACUGUGGUGGAACUGGCUUUGACGUGUGACGUCUCCCAAUGGACAGAUGUGGAAAAGCAGCAGUCACAGCCCCUCUUUUUCUGGGCUACUCUGGGCAUCGUGGCUCUGGAGGAGGAAGGAGUCCACGCACACGUGUAGGACAAAUCCUGCUACUUUUAGGGUCCGCGGUGAAGGCUCGGGGUGCAGGGACCCACGAGGGGACAGCCAAGGUGCUGCAGCUCUCACCGUGGCCAGGACAGCCAGGAGCACCCUCCCGAGGAUGGGCACUUCAGCUGCAGCACGGGGAGAGGGACACGGGGACCAGCAGCUCGCCCUGAGCUCGCCAGGGAGCGAUGGAGCAUCGGGGGCUGUGGGAGGUCCUUCCCUCAACACCCCCCAAAACCAGCCCCGAAAGCAGCCCCUGUGCCCUCACUGGGCUCCACAGCCCCUGCCUGCUGAGGGGGGGGUUCCUCCCAGUGCUGACCUCGCUCCCGACUCCCACACAGAUCCGAAGGUCUUAAUUAGCUGCUCUCUGCUGGGCUUUGGAAAUUAUCCCUGUGGGAAGUGCUGGUGAUGGAUGGAUGGAUGGCCAAGUGCUCUGGGGCCGAACAGCAGCUCGGAGCUUUCCUCUGUGAAGGACCCCAGUUCCGAGGAACCAGCUGUGGAGUUUUUUUGUCUUUUUUCUUUUUUACUUUUCUGUUCUUCUUUUUGAUGCCUUUUGGGGUUCUGGGUGUUUUUUGAGGACGGCUGGACCUGCGCUGGAUCCCGCUGAUGCCCACGGUGGGAACUGGAGGCCUUUGGAAGAGCCACAGGGCAGCAGAAGCUGAGUUGGUGGUCGCGGUGCCCUGGGGUUUAAAACUGCCUGGCAGAGGCUCAUCCUGUGCUCUGGGUGUUGGGUGCCCUCAGGAGGGUCUUUGAGCACUCACGUGGAGCCCAGCCCAGGUGGGAUUGGGAAGCAGGAGUGGAGGGAAAUGUCACCCUGAGAAACAAUUAAAUUUCUUAAUAAACCGCCUUGGCUCUGUGAGUGCUGGAUGUUG